RNAcentral lists this ribosomal RNA (322 nucleotides) under uncultured eukaryote. RNAcentral's name for it is "partial 18S ribosomal RNA". It matches the Rfam family "Eukaryotic small subunit ribosomal RNA", at positions 1470 to 1796 of the family's 1831-position model. The record is from RNAcentral.
CCCUUAGAUGCUCUGGGCCGCACGCGUGCUACACUGAGUGGAUCAGCGGGUCAGGUUGCGCGAAAGUGUUUCCUAAUCUUGAAAUCCGCUCGUGAUGGGGAUUGACGGUUGCAAUUUUCUGUCAUGAACGAGGAAUACCUUGUAAGCGCGGGUCAUCAUCCCGCGCUGAAUACGUCCCUGCCCUUUGUACACACCGCCCGUCGCUCCUACCGAUUGAGUGGUCCGGUGAGGCUUUGGGAUCUGGAUGGAAAGAGCGUUUCGCUGUUUCUGCCCGGAAAACUCAGUCGAACCUUAUCAUUUAGAGGAAGGAGAAGUCGUAACA